Non-coding RNA from Tinamus guttatus (white-throated tinamou), 100 nucleotides. The record is from RefSeq and is a predicted model, not a curated record. Lineage: Eukaryota; Metazoa; Chordata; Aves; Tinamiformes; Tinamidae.
AGGUUUCUUUGUCUGAUUGAUUAUUAUGAAUCACAAAUUAAUCAAAUGAAGAAGGAGCUAAGGCUAUUCAAAAAAGAUGAAGAUCAUGUACAGAGAGAAG